Cebus imitator (Panamanian white-faced capuchin) is the source of this 1559-nucleotide RNA transcript. It is a transcript of the gene named aldo-keto reductase family 1 member E2, with no coding region annotated. NCBI's taxonomy places the organism in Eukaryota, Metazoa, Chordata, Mammalia, Primates, Cebidae. The record is from RefSeq and is a predicted model, not a curated record. The transcript is spliced from 10 exons.
CGGCCAUGGGAGAUAUCCCAGCCGUGGGCCUGGGCACCUGGAAGGCCGCUCCGGGGAAAGUGACUGAGGCGGUGAAGGUGGCCAUUGACGCAGGCUACCGGCACUUUGACUGUGCUUACUUAUAUCACAACGAGCAUGAGGUUGGAGCAGGGAUCCGUUACAAGAUCCAGGAAGGUGUUGUGAGACGGGAGGAUCUGUUCAUUGCCAGUAAGCUGUGGUGCACCUGGCACACGAAGCCCUUGGUGAGAACAGCAUGCUGCAGGAGUCUGAAGUCCUUGAAGCUCAAAUAUUUGGACCUCUACCUCAUGCAUUGGCCCAUGGGUUUCAAGCCUCCUCAUCCAGCCUGGAUCAUGAUUCCCAGUAAGCUCCUUUCCUUCUGCUUCUCACAUCCUGGAGUAUACGACUUGCCUCUGGACUGCACUGACAUGGUCAUCCCCAGUGACACAGACUUCCUAGACACGUGGGAGGCCAUGGAAGACCUGGUGAGCACUGGACUGGUGAAGAACAUUGGGGUGUCAAACUUCAACCAUGAGCAGCUUGACAGGCUUCUCAAUAAGCCUGGGUUGAGGUUCAAACCAGUAACCAACCAGAUUGAGUGCCACCCAUACCUUAAUCAGAAGAAUCUGAUCAGUUUUUGUCAAUCCAGAGGUGUGUCUGUGACUGCUUACCGUCCUCUUGGUGGCUCGAGUGAGGGAGUUGACCUGAUGGACGAUCCUGUGAUCCAGAGGAUUGCCAAGGAGCACAACAAGUCUCCCGCUCAGAUUUUGAUCCGAUUUCAAAUCCAGAGGAAUGUAAUAGUGAUCCCCAAAUCUAUCACCCCAAGUCGGAUUAAAGAGAAUAUCCAGGUGUUUGAUUUUGAAUUAACACAGCACAAUAUGGAUAGCAUCCUCAGCCUAGACAGGAAUCUCCGACUGGCCACGUUCCCCAUGUAAAUAUGGCUCCUUAUUUUUAACUAGAGGGAAAACUAUACAGAUUGGAUAGUUGAUGCCUGAAUAGAACUAAAAAUCACAAAGACUAUCCUUUCCACACAGAAUACUGAGGACAACUUCCCCUUCCUUGUUUCUGCUCAGCCCAGAUGCACCGACACCGUUAGCAAUGUUGACCCUCCUCUGUUAAUGGCAGCUGUGCCUGGGACAGGAGCCACACAGUCAGAGGAGGGUGCAAGAGCCUCCUUCUCUGAGUAAUCUGGAGAACUGAGUGUGUUUUAAGUGAAGUCCAUGGGGUUUCUCCUAGACAGGCUGUGUGGCCUCUACUCUGAAAAAAGACACUAAUAACUCAUGAAUGAAAUUUGCCUUCACAUUUUAAGAAAACCUUAUCUUAUGAAAUUAUUUAAGCCAUCUAAGAGCUGAGGAAACAGUGUAAUCCAUCUCUGGCCCAUUGCCCACCUCCACCAAUUGUGCCCCAGGCCAGCCUGCAUCACCUUCACUUCUUUCUCUGCCCUGCCAAUGACACCCAGGUUAUUCUAAAGCAGAGUCCUUCCCUUUCCCCAGUGGGAAGGAAAAUGGGAUAAGUCUAGAGCACUGUUUCAGUUCAAUAGAGAGGCUUUUUUCUCCUUAAAA